CGAGAACCGGGCCUUCGGGCCUGGGGAAAGCGGCGAACGGGUGAGUAACACGUGGGUAACCCACCCUUGGUACUGGGAUAGCCCGGGGAAACCCGGAUUAAUACCGGAUGGCCCAACAGCUCUUCGGGGCGGUUGGAAAAGGUAGCUUCGGCCUCCGACCAAGGACGGGCCCGCGGCGGAUUAGCUUGUUGGUGGGGUAAUGGCCCACCAAGGCGACGAUCCGUAGCUGGUCUGAGAGGACGAUCAGCCACACUGGGACUGAGACACGGCCCAGACUCCUACGGGAGGCAGCAGUGGGGAAUCUUGCGCAAUGGGCGAAAGCCUGACGCAGCGACGCCGCGUGGGGAAGAAGGCUUUCGGGUUGUAAACCCCUUUCAGGAAGGACGAAGCCACUCGGGUGAAUAGCCCAGAGGGUGACGGUACUUCCAGAAGAAGCCCCGGCUAACUACGUGCCAGCAGCCGCGGUAAUACGUAGGGGGCAAGCGUUGUCCGGAUUUAUUGGGCGUAAAGAGCGUGUAGGCGGUUUGGUAGGUCCGCUGUGAAAACUCGAGGCUCAACCUCGAGACGCCGGUGGAAACCAUCAGGCUAGAGUCCGGAAGAGGAGAGUGGAAUUCCUGGUGUAGCGGUGAAAUGCGCAGAUAUCAGGAAGAACACCCGUGGCUAAGGCGGCUCUCUAGUACGGUACUGACGCUGAGACGCGAAAGCGUGGGGAGCGAACAGGAUUAGAUACCCUGGUAGUCCACGCCGUAACGAUGGGUGCUAGGUGUAGGGGGUGUCGACUCCCUCUGUGCCGAAACUAACGCAUUAAGCACCCCGCCUGGGAGUACGGCCGCAGGCUAAACUCAAAG
This 848-nucleotide ribosomal RNA is filed under the name uncultured bacterium. Its description in RNAcentral is "bacterial SSU rRNA". It matches the Rfam family "Bacterial small subunit ribosomal RNA", at positions 67 to 906 of the family's 1533-position model. The record is from RNAcentral.